Molecule: long non-coding RNA, 458 nt
Organism: Urocitellus parryii (Arctic ground squirrel)
Lineage: Eukaryota; Metazoa; Chordata; Mammalia; Rodentia; Sciuridae
Source: RefSeq, a predicted model, not a curated record
UUCUGAACAUGAUUUGAAGAACCUGAUGACCCUUUUCCACUUUUCCAGUAAGCACCAGCCAUAAGGAAGAGCACAAGGACACAGUGCUUAAACAAAAGGAUGGAGGUACAAAAUAUGCACCCAAAUUCACAGAGCCAAAUUCAGCAGCAAAUUGGAAAUCUUAAAAAUGAGAAGGCAGAUUUUUUAAAAAAGGACAUCAUCUCUCUCAGAUGAUGGAAAAAUGAAAGAGAGGAUAUAAUCAAAGAAGAGAACUAAAGGAUGUCACAAGUCUAUCCAGAGAAUGAAUAAAAGACAAAGAUGUGGAGCUCUGGAAUCUUCAAAACACCAACCUAGGAUCUCAAAAAUACUUAUAAAGCAAUGCAACAACUCAGGAUGCUGAAAGUCUAUGGAAGAAUAUGUUCAAUGAUCUAAAGGGAAUUGAUUCUGAAUCCAGCAUUACCCAACUGAAAAUACUGUAA